Molecule: ribosomal RNA, 254 nt
Filed under: uncultured bacterium
Lineage: Bacteria
Description: partial 16S ribosomal RNA
Rfam family: Bacterial small subunit ribosomal RNA
Source: RNAcentral
UACGUAGGGACCAAGCGUUGUUCGGAUUUACUGGGCGUAAAGGGCGCGUAGGCGGCAAUUCAAGUCAUCUGUGAAAUCUCCGGGCUUAACUCGGAACGGUCAGAUGAUACUGCUUUGCUAGAGUGCGGAAGGGGCAAUCGGAAUUCUCGGUGUAGCGGUGAAAUGCGUAGAUAUCGAGAGGAACACCUGAGGUGAAGACGGGUUGCUGGGCAGACACUGACGGUGAGUGAGCGAAAGCCAGGGGAGCAAACGGG